CAGUAGCCGCGGGAAAACGGAGGGGGCUAGCGUUGUUCGGAAUUACUGGGCGUAAAGCGCACGUAGGCGGCUUGGUAAGUUAGAGGUGAAAGCCUGGAGCUCAACUCCAGAAUUGCCUUUAAGACUGCCGAGCUAGCAGGUGAGAGAGGUAAGUGGAAUUCCGAGUGUAGAGGUGAAAUUCGUAGAUAUUCGGAAGAACACCAGUGGCGAAGGCGGCUCACUGGACUAGUAUUGACGCUGAGGUGCGAAAGCGUGGGGAGCAAACAGGAUUAGAUACCCCAGUAGUCCCUGUCUCUUAUAC
Molecule: ribosomal RNA, 301 nt
Filed under: uncultured bacterium
Lineage: Bacteria
Description: partial 16S ribosomal RNA
Rfam family: Bacterial small subunit ribosomal RNA
Source: RNAcentral